RNAcentral lists this ribosomal RNA (545 nucleotides) under uncultured bacterium. RNAcentral's name for it is "bacterial SSU rRNA". It matches the Rfam family "Bacterial small subunit ribosomal RNA", at positions 801 to 1362 of the family's 1533-position model. The record is from RNAcentral.
CGUAAGAUUUUAUAGCCGUGGGUCCUGAGUUUAGUGGCGCAGUAACGUAUAAUAGACCGCCUGGGAGUACGGUCGCAAGAUUAAAACUCAAAUGAAUUGACGGGGGCCCGCACCAGCGGUGGAGCAUGUGGUUUAAUUUGACGCAACGCGAAGAACCUUACCAGGUCUUGACAUCCAGAGAACUUUCCAGAGAUGGAUUGGUGCCUUCGGGAGCUCUGAGACAUGUGCUGCAUGGCCGUCGUCAGCUCGUGUCGUGAGAUGUUGGGCUAAGUCCCGUAACGAGCGCAACCCUUGUCCUUAGUUGCCAGCGCGUAAUGSCGGGAACUCUAAGGAGACUGCCGGUGACAAACCGGAGGAAGGUGGGGACGACGUCAAGUCAUCAUGGCCCUUACGACCUGGGCUACACACGUGCUACAAUGGGCGGUACAAAGGGUUGCCAAACCGCGAGGUGGAGCUAAYCCCAUAAAACCGUUCGUAGUCCGGAUUGGAGUCUGCAACUCGACUCCAUGAAGUCGGAAUCGCUAGAAUCGAGUCAGAAUGCACGG